UAUGGCAGAUUAGUGCAAUGGAUUUAAAAUCCUACCAUAAAGAUUACCCUCUUUUAUUAAAA
Molecule: transfer RNA, 62 nt
Filed under: Temnothorax americanus
Lineage: Eukaryota; Metazoa; Arthropoda; Insecta; Hymenoptera; Formicidae
Description: tRNA-Leu
Source: RNAcentral